CCUACGGGUGGCAGCAGUGAGGAAUAUUGGUCAAUGGUCGGGAGACUGAACCAGCCAAGCCGCGUGAGGGAUGAAGGUACAGAGUAUCGUAAACCUCUUUUGUCAGGGAACAAAGGCGGGGACGUGUCCCCGGAUGAGUGUACCUGAAGAAAAAGCAUCGGCUAACUCCGUGCCAGCAGCCGCGGUAAUAUGGAGGAUGCGAGCGUUAUCCGGAUUUAUUGGGUUUAAGGGGGGCGCAGGCGGUCUGUUAAGUCAGCGGUAAAAGCCCGGGGCUCAACCCCGGCCCGCCGUUGAAACUGGCAGUCUCGAGUUGGAGAGAAGUAUGCGGAAUGAGCGGUGUAGCGGUGAAAUGCAUAGAUAUCGCGCAGAACUCCGAUUGCGAAGGCAGCAUGCCGGCUCCACACUGACGCUGAGGCACGAAAGCGUGGGUAUCGAACAGGAUUAGAUACCCUUGUAGUC
Molecule: ribosomal RNA, 459 nt
Filed under: uncultured bacterium
Lineage: Bacteria
Description: partial 16S ribosomal RNA
Rfam family: Bacterial small subunit ribosomal RNA
Source: RNAcentral